Molecule: ribosomal RNA, 194 nt
Filed under: uncultured bacterium
Lineage: Bacteria
Description: partial 16S ribosomal RNA
Rfam family: Bacterial small subunit ribosomal RNA
Source: RNAcentral
UGCAACCCGCCUGCAUGAAGUCGGAAUUGCUAGUAAUCGCGGAUCAGCAUGCCGCGGUGAAUACGUUCCCGGGCCUUGUACACACCGCCCGUCACACCAUGGGAGCCGGUAAUACCCGAAGUCAGUAGUCCAACCACGUGAGGACGCUGCCGAAGGUAGGAUUGGCGACUGGGGUGAAGUCGUAACAAGGUACC